This 455-nucleotide small RNA is filed under the name Pongo abelii (Sumatran orangutan). RNAcentral describes it as "retained intron". Lineage: Eukaryota; Metazoa; Chordata; Mammalia; Primates; Hominidae. The record is from RNAcentral.
CAAGGAGUCUGGGAUACUGAUGGGACCAGGGGACUAUUUACUGGGGCUGGAAUACGGGAGGCAUAGGUGGGGAUAAGAUGGAGGUUGGAGCAAGGACUUAGUAUGUAUCCUUUGGCUUUUUUCUAGCUGCUGUGGCUGGGACAGGCCCUCCGAGGGCCCUAUGGAGUGAGCAUGUGGCCCCAGAUGGGCGCAUCUACUACUACAAUGCUGACGACAAGCAGUCCGUGUGGGAGAAGCCCAGCGUGCUCAAGUCCAAGGCAGAGCUGCUCCUGUCUCAGUGUCCCUGGAAAGAGUACAAGUCGGACACAGGCAAACCUUAUUACUAUAACAACCAGAGUAAAGAGUCUCGCUGGACCCGGCCCAAGGAUCUGGAUGACCUAGAGGUUCUAGUCAAACAAGAGGCUGCAGGGAAACAGCAGCAGCAGCUGCCACAGACACUUCAGCCACAGCCGCCU